AUUCCCAGAUGAGACUGAAGCCUGUAAACGCUGCAACUGUAGAAGAUCCAGAUGUUUGACACUGGUGAUGAAAACUUGAUGAACACUCCAUCAGCCAGGCACAAAAGCGGAUGCAAAUACAAGAAGUCAAAAUGCCUAAAAUAGUAUUGCGAGUGCUAUCGGGCUAAGGAUGCCACUAUGAGGAUUGUGACAAUUCUUUUGGCAAUAAGUCGGAAUCAAUGUUCCAGAGAGUGGAAAAACAGCAGAAUCAGUCUCAUGAGAUGCUAAAUACAGCUCAAGUUAUGUCUGACAGCACCUUGGCCAGGACUGCUAAUUCGUUUUCAUCAAUGUGGGAAAAACUCGUCUGACAUCCUCCCUCAAGAUUACAUGAUAUGAGGGACUGUCAAAAUGUCUCACAAGCUGAAUCAGAAAACGGAACUUGCUACUCCUCUGCCUUGAGUCCUAAGCAACCAUGUCGGAGUAAGGAGAUUGAUAAUAUCUGUGAGAUCAUGGUAGAUGGUUUUCCUGACUACCACAUGGAAACCUCCAACCCCAUCGACACAGUGAAAUCUGGCUCGGGUUUGGGGCUCUAUAAUGGUGGUACGUGACAAUCUUAACACAGUGAAGGCAAUUCCUUUGGAGUACGUGGGAUACUACCGUUAGAUGUGGACACUUUGAAGCCUAAUCUCAUUGAAGGGAAAGUUUUGAGUUCGCUAUCUGAUUCGCAAAGAGAAAAAAGUUGUUGACCAAAUAUUUGUAUGCUUUGCUUCUCCAUUCAUUUUCUGAACUUUUUUUCAGUUUAAAAACAAUAACAGAAUAUUUAAAUUAAUUAUGUUAUUAUGCAUGGACAAUAUGCUGAUUAUUGCCCAAUGCCCCAAUGAUAAACUUUUGCUUGUGCAAGCAUCAAUAAAGAGGGGAAUGUGCUCCUACUGUAUCUUUAAAACACUAUUUUUUUCUUCUCUUGUAUAUUGAUCUUACCAUAGAACUUCAGCUUAAUGAUGUGGAAUAAUUGCCUCUGUUUUCAACUUACUAUCCUAGUGGGAUAGUCUGAUAGGUUUUUGGACGAGGAAGACACAGAGUGGAUGCCAGCUCGUAUUGGACUUGUUUUGGGCCUUGAUUUAGUUAGUUAGAUGGGUCCUUUUUUCUUCUUUUUUUCUUUUGUUUUCUUUUUAUCUCUUCCUCCUUUAUUGUCCUUUCUAACAAACCGCUGCCGCUGCCUCCGCCUCCCACACUUUCCAGCGUCUUACCUCCUAUCAGGGCAGCUUCCUUCCCAUCAUUCAAAAUCUAAAUCCUCUAAUAUAUCUAAUCAUUUCAUAGCUCCCUCGUUUCUUCGCCAAUUCUCUCACUCUCGCUCUCUUUUCAAUUUUUUCCUGUCAUUCUUUUUUAGCUUUGGGUAACUACAGGCCAAAAAAUCACACGCUACAGUCGGAAGAGAGUUUUCGUGAGAGAGAAACCCUAAGUUUUCUCUGGCAUUUCUGGUUUUUUUUUAUUUUUUAAAUCUGCCGCUUCAUCGGAGACGCAUAUCAGAAAAUGAAGGUUUCUCUUUUGAGGACGUCGGCCAUUCAUAUCAACCCAAGGUUCAAGCAUUACACACCACUUAAAUCCGGAUAUUAGCUUUGUGAUUAUGUACUUGGAAGUAGUUCCGGGUUGUUUGGUUCUUGAAUCCGGGACCGGUAGUGGCUCAUUAACAACAUCGUUUGCAAGGGCUGUGGCACCAACGGGA
Long non-coding RNA from Gossypium arboreum, 1702 nucleotides. RefSeq lists it as uncharacterized. The record is from RefSeq and is a predicted model, not a curated record. Lineage: Eukaryota; Viridiplantae; Streptophyta; Magnoliopsida; Malvales; Malvaceae. The transcript has 7 exons.